This 460-nucleotide ribosomal RNA is filed under the name uncultured archaeon. RNAcentral describes it as "bacterial SSU rRNA". It matches the Rfam family "Archaeal small subunit ribosomal RNA", at positions 466 to 924 of the family's 1478-position model. The record is from RNAcentral.
CGCGGUAAUACUGGCAGAACGAGUGGUGCCCACGAAUAUUGGGUCUAAAGAGACCGUAGCUGGUCUGUUAAGUCCACUGUGAAAUCUUGGGGCUCAACCUCAAGGCGUGCAGUGGAUACUGGCAGACUUGAGAGCGGGGGAGGUCAGGGGUACUUACGGGGUAUGAGUAAAAUCAGUUGAUCCUGUAAGGACCACCAGUGGCGAAGGCGCCUGACCAAAACGCGUCUGACAGUGAGGGUCGAAGGCUAGGAGAACGAAUCGGAUUAGAUACCCGAGUAGCCCUAGCAGUAAAUUAUGCAGACUGUGGUGUUGCCAUGGCUUCGGGCCAUGGCAGUGCUGUAGCGUAGGUGUUAAGUCUGCCACCUGGGGAGUACGGCCGCAAGGUUGAAACUUAGAGGAAUUGGCGGGGGAGCACCACAAGGGGUGGAUGCUGCGGUUCAAUUGGAUUCAACGCCGGGAA